Molecule: long non-coding RNA, 1809 nt
Filed under: Salmo salar (Atlantic salmon)
Lineage: Eukaryota; Metazoa; Chordata; Actinopteri; Salmoniformes; Salmonidae
Description: lncRNA (ENSSSAG00000103549.1)
Source: RNAcentral
CUGAAAAACCAUUUUAGGUUGUAGAUAGAAAAAAAGGUGCUAAGACUGUAUGGUUUCUCAGGAAUCCUGUCCUGUGAUUAUUACAAUGAUUUAAAAUGUUGUUUUUAGUUGUUCUGCUGUUAUAAGUUGUUUUACAUUCUAUGAUGAAUUCUACUGUUGCUCGUAUUAUAAUGAUUAUCUCCUUUUUCUUCGUUUAAUGACACUUCAGCAAUUGGUUUUCAAUGCAUUAACUGCGUAUGAGUAACAUUGUGGUAUUUAUAUGUAAACAUACAUGUAGUCUGUUAUCGUGUGUGUUGACACUCACUGACGCAAACCUCCCGUUCUACGGGAUUAUACCGUUGAAAUUGAAAAGGGAUUUGAUUAGUUAAGAUCAGACAUUCAGAUUAGUUCCAUGGUGAUUAUUCCACACUUUAUUGACCCAUCAUUGACCCGUUGUUAUUGUUCAGAAUAAGAGCUGGACAAUCUCUCACCGUCAGUACUUAUUUUGGGUUCAAACAAUGUAUAAAUGGCAACCAUUUCAAUACGGCAGGUUGUAUUCGUCAGAUUUUUUGCUCUUAUUUAAUUCAUCCAGAUGCUUUCUUACUCAUCAGAGUCAGGCGGUUUGAGGCGGAUCUCAGGGCUGGUGUUGGGAGAGCAGUUCUGGGACUCAGGGUGUCUGGACCUGGGCAGCUGCUGGUUCUGAUCUGGGAUCCAUGAUGUAGCCCUGUCUCAGAUAGACAGGCAGGCAGAGCCAAGAGGAAAGGAGAGGAGAGGCUCUUUGUACUGGAUUGAUUUUCUCCUCUGCCGCCCUGCCUUCUUUUGUGGUUCGAUAGCUGGAUGUCCAUGGGCAGAGGAUCUCUCAGCUGCAGAGGGAGCUACAGGAGAGCCAACUGGAGCUCCAGAGGGGACACAGCCGAAGAGAGCAGCAGCAGAGGGACCUGCAGACCCAGACACAGCAGGCAGAGGAGCUCCACACUCAGCUGGCUGAGGUCAAAGGGCGUCUUGUGCAGGUGGAGGGAGAAAAUGUGGCGCUCAUGGGAUAUAAGCUGGAGCUGAGAGCCGAGGUGGAAAGGCUGGCAGCGGUGGUGUAUUCUCUGCAGAGCUCUGUCAGGAUCAGAGGGCACAGAGAGUGCCCAGGCCUAGCGGAGGUAUGUGGACCUGGAGGGGGAGCUGACAGAGACCCAUGCCCAGCUCACGGAGUGCCAGGACAGGCUACAGGAAGCCAGGAGGAGGGCUGAGGAGCAGACCCAAAAGUUCCAGGACACGGUGUCCAGUCUGAAGAGCCAGCAUGGCUGUGUUAGUCAGCAGACGCACCAGCCCCAUCCUGCUCCAGCAGCCCCAUCCUGCUCCAGCAGCCCCAUCCUGCUCCAGCAGCCCCAUCCUGCCCCACCAGCCCCAUCCUGCUCCAGCAGCCCCAUCCUGCUCCAGCAGCCCCAUCCUGCCCCACCAGCCCCAUCCUGCUCCAGCAGCCCCAUCCUGCCCCACCAGCCCCAUCCUGCUCCAGCAGCCCCAUCCGGCUCCAGCAGCCCCAUCCUGCUCCACCAGCCCCAUCCUGCUCCAGCAGCCCUAUCCUGCUCCACCAGCUCCAUCCUGCCCCACCAGCUCCAUCCUGCUCCAGCAGCCCCAUCCUGCCCCACCAGCCCCAUCCUGCUCCAGCAGCCCUAUCCUGCUCCACCAGCUCCAUCCUGCCCCACCAGCUCCAUCCUGCUCCACCAGCUCCAUCCUGCCCCACCAGCUCCAUCCUGCCCCAGCAGCUCCAUCCUGCCCCACCAGCCCCAUCCUGCUCCAGCAGCCCUAUCCUGCUCCACCAGCUCCAUCCUGCCCCACCAG